RNAcentral lists this ribosomal RNA (1457 nucleotides) under Streptococcus salivarius. RNAcentral's name for it is "bacterial SSU rRNA". It matches the Rfam family "Bacterial small subunit ribosomal RNA". Lineage: Bacteria; Bacillati; Bacillota; Bacilli; Lactobacillales; Streptococcaceae. The record is from RNAcentral.
CGGGGGGGGGGGUGCCUAUACAUGCAAGUAGAACGCUGAAGAGAGGAGCUUGCUCUUCUUGGAUGAGUUGCGAACGGGUGAGUAACGCGUAGGUAACCUGCCUUGUAGCGGGGGAUAACUAUUGGAAACGAUAGCUAAUACCGCAUAACAAUGGAUGACACAUGUCAUUUAUUUGAAAGGGGCAAUUGCUCCACUACAAGAUGGACCUGCGUUGUAUUAGCUAGUAGGUGAGGUAACGGCUCACCUAGGCGACGAUACAUAGCCGACCUGAGAGGGUGAUCGGCCACACUGGGACUGAGACACGGCCCAGACUCCUACGGGAGGCAGCAGUAGGGAAUCUUCGGCAAUGGGGGCAACCCUGACCGAGCAACGCCGCGUGAGUGAAGAAGGUUUUCGGAUCGUAAAGCUCUGUUGUAAGUCAAGAACGAGUGUGAGAGUGGAAAGUUCACACUGUGACGGUAGCUUACCAGAAAGGGACGGCUAACUACGUGCCAGCAGCCGCGGUAAUACGUAGGUCCCGAGCGUUGUCCGGAUUUAUUGGGCGUAAAGCGAGCGCAGGCGGUUUGAUAAGUCUGAAGUUAAAGGCUGUGGCUCAACCAUAGUUCGCUUUGGAAACUGUCAAACUUGAGUGCAGAAGGGGAGAGUGGAAUUCCAUGUGUAGCGGUGAAAUGCGUAGAUAUAUGGAGGAACACCGGUGGCGAAAGCGGCUCUCUGGUCUGUAACUGACGCUGAGGCUCGAAAGCGUGGGGAGCGAACAGGAUUAGAUACCCUGGUAGUCCACGCCGUAAACGAUGAGUGCUAGGUGUUGGAUCCUUUCCGGGAUUCAGUGCCGCAGCUAACGCAUUAAGCACUCCGCCUGGGGAGUACGACCGCAAGGUUGAAACUCAAAGGAAUUGACGGGGGCCCGCACAAGCGGUGGAGCAUGUGGUUUAAUUCGAAGCAACGCGAAGAACCUUACCAGGUCUUGACAUCCCGAUGCUAUUUCUAGAGAUAGAAAGUUACUUCGGUACAUCGGUGACAGGUGGUGCAUGGUUGUCGUCAGCUCGUGUCGUGAGAUGUUGGGUUAAGUCCCGCAACGAGCGCAACCCCUAUUGUUAGUUGCCAUCAUUCAGUUGGGCACUCUAGCGAGACUGCCGGUAAUAAACCGGAGGAAGGUGGGGAUGACGUCAAAUCAUCAUGCCCCUUAUGACCUGGGCUACACACGUGCUACAAUGGUUGGUACAACGAGUUGCGAGUCGGUGACGGCAAGCUAAUCUCUUAAAGCCAAUCUCAGUUCGGAUUGUAGGCUGCAACUCGCCUACAUGAAGUCGGAAUCGCUAGUAAUCGCGGAUCAGCACGCCGCGGUGAAUACGUUCCCGGGCCUUGUACACACCGCCCGUCACACCACGAGAGUUUGUAACACCCGAAGUCGGUGAGGUAACCUUUGGAGCCAGCCGCCUUAAAGGUGGGGAAAAAAG